Long non-coding RNA from Mesocricetus auratus (golden hamster), 4219 nucleotides. RefSeq lists it as uncharacterized. The record is from RefSeq and is a predicted model, not a curated record. The transcript has 3 exons. Lineage: Eukaryota; Metazoa; Chordata; Mammalia; Rodentia; Cricetidae.
AGAUUGCUUUCCGGUUGCCUUCCUGGAAAACAUCUGCUGCAUUCAACCAGAGUAUAUGAGGGGACAAUUAAGAAUCAUGUGUGUUAUAAGCAUGUGAGGAACUAGGAGAAAAAGGAAAAUCUGUACCAUGGCCCUCUAUUCUCUUCUUGUGCAAGACGCUUGCCGAACUCAAGCCAGCUGUUUCUCUGUCUACGCUGGAACACGCACAGCCAGCAUUGCCGACAUGAGGCAGUGCCCUGUUAUUCAUCCAGAGGCUUCCGCACUCCCACAGGCUCCUGCAUAUGUUCCUGAAUGGCCUCUACCCAUUUUCUGACUGGAGAGAAAAUGUGAGAGCAGUCUGAGUAAGAAUCUCCUCAGGGUAUGGGGAAAGACAUGGAGGGGAUAAAGUACCCUCGGAGAAUGAAGAUGAGACCAGUAUGAGUGUAUAGGCUGGCUCCAGUCAUGGACUAUUGGACGUUGAGACAGGACAAGCAUGCCCUACAGUAUUCCACAGCUUCAAAGCUGGAUGAUUCACAGCAUGCUGAAUGAUCUCUACUCAUCUCACUAUUAAUACCUGAGGACCCCAGCUAGCAUUUGCAGAUUCUACUCAAGACACUAGAGGUUCCAUCAGUGAAGAAGACUUCCUCUCCUAGAGCUUAUGUUUCUGUUGGAUUCUCACUUCUAGCAUACAUUUCUAUGUUUUAAUCUCCAUGACAACAGCAACAAUGCUUGAGUUUACUACGCCUAUGAAGGAACAAUACACUUUUACUGCUGUGCAUCUUGUUAUAGAAUCACUAAAGUAUCUGUUUUCCUGGCAUGGGUACAGAAUUACCAGAUAUCAGAGACUAUAGAAGUAAACAGCAGAAAUACAAGUUCACUCCGUAAUUUCCCAAUAUUUGCUCUAUAUCCUUUAAUUCUUUGAAAUCUACAUUACCAUGUGGAAGUGUAUUUUAUGACUUCUCUGGUAGAUGUUUAUAAGGGAACUCUGAGGAGAAACUGCCUAGAAGUUGGUUUCCUAUGUAGGGGAAGCAAGAUCCAGAAUACAUAUUUCUUAGAGACAUGUGGUGGGCACAUUUUAAGAGAUUUUUAAUUGGACAGCUGCAGGAAGUGCUGACCAAGGAAAGAGUGGGCAAAGUUGGGAAGACUGUGUUAUUUCUGAAACCUCGGCUGUCUCUACCAACCUAAUACGAAUCUGUUUAACAUCUGAAAACAAAAAGCCUUUGAACCUUCAGAACACUCAGAGUAAGUAGGCUACUGAAUGGAGUAAAGGCUUUGACAAAGGCAAUGUUAUAUACUCACCAAUUUUUUUUCUUUUCUCUUGGCUAGACAGGAAGACAGAAUAUCCUGCUUGCCUUGCAUAGAUAUGUUCUGGCCAAUGGAAUUUGGGCAGGGCAUACUAUUCCCAGACCUGGGUCUGGAAAUGUGGCAAACAUCCAUAUUUUAUGGGUGAUCAGAUGCAGAGAGGUCAGUGGAGAACUUCAGAGCUCUAAGGCCUUGAAGAUCCCACAAGGCCAGUUAGAUGGGACAGUCUGAGUACUUGGAUAACUGCUCAUUACACCACAUCUCCUCCAAGAGCACAACAACAGGCUGAUUUCCAUUAGAAUGUGACAUGACCACAAACUAAAAGUUUAUUGUAAGCCAAAAGACAUAGGGCCAUUUAUUCCAACUUCCAGUAUUGUUUACAUUGUGUAGUUUUGUCCCAUUUAUUUGAAUCAAAUAUAUAAUUUUAAGUUAUUUUAUAUGUAAAACAUCAAGAAUAGCACAGGUAUUUAAAAAACUAUUAUCUGCAUAUUUCCAAGAUAAUAGAUUCCGAAGUUGACAUGUCCAUGCACAUGUUAGAGUUGGUCAUUACUAACUUCAGGUUACUUAUGGUCAUUACUCACUUUCCUUUAGUAAGUGUACCUGUUCAAUAUAUGUCUACUUUAUUCAAAAUUAAUAAAUGGAUAGAUUUAGCAAGUGAUUGCUAUCUUCUGAUAAGCAGGGUAAAAUUUACAUAGCUGAUUUCUGGGUAGAAGUGACCCAGCUCUGUAGUUUGAGAAAAGACUACUAAUAAUUUAGUAGUCUUGGAAGCAAGAAUCAUACUGUGUAAAGAUAGAAAGCUCCACAAUAUCACAACUCUUUCCUAUGUUGGUAAGUCGUUGUCCAAGACUCAACUCAUUGCUCACAGGAGUGUGGGCUGAGUAUUCCAGUUCAGAUGGAAGGUACUGAAUUUUGGGAGGGAAGCCUAUGUCAGCUUGAAGUUUCUGAUGUCUUAUUUUUAUAACCCACAGACCCUUACAAAGUAGGAACUAUGAGCUGGAAUCAUGAGUGGGCAAUAAGAUUAGCCAAAGGCUCUUACUCUUGUUUUAUCCUUUGGCAUGAUAGAGAAUGCUGCUAUCCCUACAACUACCCCUGGGUUCCUGAUGUAUCUUUCACCUACACAUACUCAGCUGCUUACUGCUCAGGCACGGGUCAAACAAUGCCUACUCCAAACUAAUUUCAUAGGUGUUCCUCAAACAGCUUGUUAUACUCUCUCUCUUUUUACCUUUCACUGCAUCUGUGUGUUUUAGCAUCUAAAAUAUUUGCCUAGCUGUUUAAAUAUGUCUGUAUUUUAUUUCCUUUUAUAGUUGUUGGGACAACUGUGUUUUAUUCAAAGACAGAAUUCCAAGAGAACAGAAGUAAGCUUAUGAAUAUUGGGAAUUAUUAUUCCAGGCUGUCUCUCACAAAAUAAUGGGGCUAAAGUUAGUGUCAGGACACAAAAAUAUUUUCUUUUUUGUUUUUGGUCUCUGGAGUACCAUUCCAUGUACAUUCUGGCUCUAGCACUCAUAAGCCAUUGGUCAGGGACCUUACCUCUCACAGCAUUAGUCUAUUCUCACAUUAAAUGAGAUUAGCAAUAAGAUUAUAACAAAAUAUUUAGAAAGAUCCUUGCACACAUUCCAGUGAAUUAUGUUAUUAUCACAACCAUUAUCGUCACCACUAUCCCCACCACCACUAUCAUUUCAUUUGAAAAUCGCAGAGCAGUUUUGUUGUUAUUUUAAACAGAAAUUAAGAACUCAAAUGUCUUUACAAACUAGAAAAGCAAUGUGAGAAUAGUAAAAUAUGAAGGGGAGCAGCCAGUCACAACAUCGUAUGAUUAAUGCUGUUGUAGGACUGCUAAGAAGGAACAGAGCGGGGGAUCGGAAAUACUAAAAGGAAAUACACUAACAGAAACAACAGCAAGAAUUAGUGUUAGUAAUCCUAAGAGACGUGAAUGUAUUAAGACGUGUUCAGCUGAGAAUAUAAAUAUAAUUAGAAGUUAGCUGCAAGGGCCGGAGAGAAGAAUGAUAGAAGUAGAGGGGUCAGAAGAGAUGAGUGUAAUGCACAUUAUAUUGGUAAACUGUCUGAGAAGCUGGCUCUGGAAGCUGGAGUCCCUCCUCCCAUUCCAGACCUAAACCUGCUUGUCUCAAAGGUCCCUUGUCUAGGGAUGAUCUAGCACCCCUCCACCAACUCUGUGACAAAGAGAGAGCAGCUAAAUAGCCAGAGUGAAACCAUAGUGCCCUUGAGAAUGGCUACAAGGUAAACUAUUUUCUAUUGAUGCCGUUAUUGUUUGCAUCAUGAUGCAAGAGUAAAACAGAACCCAGAGGUUCAGCCAUGGCAAGCUCAUCCACAAACAGAAAGCUCAAACUGGGAGCUUCAGUUGAUUGCCUCAACUAUCCAGGCUGGUUCCUUCUGGAUGUCAUGAGCCCACAGGGCGAUGGUGUUAUCUUUGCUGUAUUUGUUCUUUUACUCAGAAGGCUCACCUAAGGUACAUGGUUCAGCUCAGGAAUCUCCCAAUCAGGAAUUUCAGCUGAAUGCCAUAACAGGGAGUCCCUAGCCCACUUCUACUGGAUGUUUUGAAUACCUGAUUUAAUGUUUAUUUGUUGUCUGUAUGACUGCCUAUCUUUCUAUAUCUAUCUCCAUCCAUCCAUCCAUCCAUCCAUCCAUCCAUCCAUCCAUCCAUCCAUCGAUGAAACUGCUGGCCAGCCUACUCAAGCUGUAGUCGCUCUGCCCAGUGCCCAGACCAGCCUGCGCAAGCAUGCAUGGCAGGUGUUUCCUUCCUGAGACAAACCGGCCUCUACACCCAGAGACUGCCGAGGAAGAGACACUUGACAGGAGAUACCAAUGAGAAAAGGACAACACAGUAGAGUCAGCAGCCUGAGCCAAUGGGACUUUGGGAGGGGGUAUAAAGGCAAUCCUAACUUCCUUAAUAAACGAGUCUGCAGCACGCUCUGCUGCUCACUGA